Molecule: unclassified non-coding RNA, 343 nt
Filed under: soil metagenome
Description: partial contains 5.8S ribosomal RNA, internal transcribed spacer 2, and large subunit ribosomal RNA
Rfam family: 5.8S ribosomal RNA (bases 1-120)
Source: RNAcentral
GAUGAAGAACGUAGUGAAAUGCGAUAAGUAAUGUGAAUUGCAGAAUUCAGUGAAUCAUCGAGUUUUUGAACGCAUAUUGCGCCCUCUGGUAUUCCGGGGGGCAUGCCUGUUCGAGCGUCAUUAAAUAACCCUCAAGCAUAGCUUGGUGUUGGGCUUUUUUACGUCCUUGACUGGGAUGGGCCUAAAAAUUAGUGGCGAUGGCUUUUUUACUUUCAAGCGUAGUAAAUCUCGUCUUGCUAAAGAGGAAAAAGAUUUUUUUUCUGCCAAAAAUUUUAACAUUUAAAGUUGACCUCGGAUCAGGUAGGAUUACCCGCUGAACUUAAGAAUAUCAAUAAGCGGAGGA